This 92-nucleotide transfer RNA is filed under the name Thermofilum adornatum. RNAcentral describes it as "Thermofilum adornatus tRNA". It matches the Rfam family "tRNA". From Rfam's summary of the family: Transfer RNA (tRNA) molecules are approximately 80 nucleotides in length. Lineage: Archaea; Thermoproteati; Thermoproteota; Thermoprotei; Thermofilales; Thermofilaceae. The record is from Rfam by way of RNAcentral.
GGGCCCGUAGUCUAGUGGUUAGGAUGCCGCCCUUACAAGGCACAAUUUCCUAGGAGCGGCGGUGGUCCCGGGUUCGAAUCCCGGCGGGCCCA